RNAcentral lists this long non-coding RNA (5490 nucleotides) under Bemisia tabaci. RNAcentral describes it as "lncRNA ENSSSA2NGG002414". Lineage: Eukaryota; Metazoa; Arthropoda; Insecta; Hemiptera; Aleyrodidae. The record is from RNAcentral.
AGAGUUGCCAAAUUUCCCUUGAUGAAACGUGUAUUUUUGACGCAAUUUAAGCAUAUUUUUCCUUAAAAUUUCAGAUAUUUUAGAUUAAAUUGCGUACAAAAUUGUGUGGAAAUUUUGGGGGAUAAUAUUUACAAUUUUUCCUGUAAAUUCGGUUUUUAUCGAAAGAAAUUCGGCAACAUCUGAAGGCGCAUACGGUGUUUUUCCUUAGCACGGCAGUAUAACUGGGCAUGCUUUUCUUAUCUUAGUUGUUUAAUUUUUCUCUUUUUGCAGAUGGCACUCACACUUUGCCGAGCAGCUGAGUUCGUCAGAUAAAUCUAGGGAUGCAUAUUAUCCGCCCCAGUCUCACCUUUUGGGCAGUUUAUCAGAUUCAAAGUUGCAGGACCAGCAGGCGCACGGGCACGGUCACAGGAGCCGGAGCCCCCGCCGGGUUCCCCGGGCGGCGAAGCCGGGAGCAGUCUCUCCGACUCGGAUAUAAGCCUCGGGGCUCCGUCCCCCGGCCCCCCACCCACCAGCCAAGUUCCUUACAAACCCCUCGCCCUCCACAGACCCUUCUCGCCCGCCAAGCCCUACUCGCCCAGGAACCUCGAGGCCACUCGUUGCUGAGCCUAAGUUCACGACGCAUUUGUAAAGAUUACUCAAAGUUUUCCCCUUGCGGUUCGCAUUCCUUGAACACACUUCUCGCCAAGCCUAGAAAGCAGAGUCCAAGAACUCAGUGAGCCUUCAUAAAUUACAUAACGCACAUUUACAGCAUUUUUUCGUAAAAAUUGUUGGUGGUUCGAUGGACGCCGUAUUUUGUGUCAGAACGGCAUGCGAUAUAUCGCAUCAAUUGAUUCUAUUUUUUCAGCUAUACUCGUCAUUUUUCUCCAAUUUUGAGAUCGCAAUUCUGUUGUCAGGAGACUAAAGCACUCACUUACCAAUUUUAACAAAGAAAUUCAACGUGAUAAAGGCGUGGUUUUGUUAGAGAGAAAAUAUCGCAUUCGAGGGCAGUUUCGAUAUCAGUAUCGAAUGCGAUAUUUUCUCUCUAAAAAAACCACGCCUUUAUUACGUUGAAUUUCUUUGUUAAAAUUGGUAAGUGAGUGCUUUAGUCUCCUAACAACAGAAUUGCGAUCUCAAAAUUAGAGAAAAAUGACGAGUAGCUGAAAAAAUGGAACCAAUUGAUGCGAUAUAUCGCAUGCCGUUCUGACACAAAAUAUGGCGUCCAUCGUAUCACCUUAUAAGCGUCUUUAUGCUUUACUUAAUCACAAUGUUAACCACGUAGGGACUCCCUGGGGAACGAAGCUGUUUAAGGAACAGCUACGAUACUUGGACGUUUUUGUUAUUCAAGGAAUGCACCUUGGCAUUUUAAGCAUAAAACAUACGUUUGUCAGGCGUAACUUUGAAAGUUGUAAUUAUAAGAUUUUCUGGUUCUGACCCUUUUGACUGGACCGUCUAGUUGUAAAUGAAUGCAACCACCAAGAGCCAAGCUUCAAGAGUACGAAAAUAACCAUAGGGAUUUAACGAUCCCUCAUAUUUCUAAUGAGAAAAAAACCCCAAAAAGCGGUCACAUUAUGGCAGCUUUAAUUGUAGUCUGUUUCAGAAGGUUUUUAAAUAUGAUGUUUACGAAACAUAGUUUAAAGCCCACUCCAGUGCUUUUUUUAAUAUUUUGGAACAUCCCCUGCGUUGAGAAGGGUAUAAAACGUUUUUCACUCCUCUACCACUGAAAUGAAAAUUCAAAUUUUAAACCAAGAAAGUGGCAUUCAAUAGCGAUUUGGCAAUAUAGCUUAUGAAUUAGAACGAUGCACCUAUGUCCUUGAUGGAUAGUCAACCCGCAAGUAACUGAAAUGAGAACAACUUUGCAUCCAAUUUCGACUAGACGGUUCGAAAACACAAAAUUACCUGUUGGCUCUCCGAUUUUGUUUAUUAUUUUUUGUAAUGAAUUUAUUCACUUGUUCAUUUGUAUCAUCGUCGUGGAAUGGGAGUGGACUGGCGGAAAAGAGGCCUCAAAAAGGGCUCAGUGACCCUUUCGAUAAAUCUUUAAAAAUCGAACACGCUAGAUAUCUCUUUUGUGAAAUAUUUCCAGGUGUUACCAACAAUGGUCAAAUCAGGCAUUUGAUGAAAUAGCAGUGAGUCCGUUAAUUAUCGGAUAAUUCAGUUUUAUGCCGUUUUUAUUAAAACAAAAAGAAACAGCCGUGGACAAUAAACUGAUAUCAUUUGAACAUAAGUGCGAAAAAGUAGUUAAACGAUCAAUACUAUGAAUCGAGAAGGUCGUCGAUAAUAUGUAUGAAAAAGUCGUUGCCUUCCAAAAUUUGCCUAUUUGCCAUGAUGUUUUAUAAAGUAAUGUUUGAUUUUACAGUUUUUUACGACAAAAACAAUGACCAAAGAUUUUUACUGAAAAAAGUAAAAAAAGGCCCUUUUCAGCUGGCUUUCCGCUCUAAGAAGUUUGUCUACAAGCCAUUCCACUCCUGUUGUAAACUUAAAAUCAGUGGUGUGGCGUGCUUUGCGAUAUAUCGAUUGACCCUCCAUUAAAACCUGUGGAUAAGGACCGAUAAACAGGGUGUUCGCCUCGAAUACCUUAAUAAUCGAUCUCUCACUACAGCUUUAAAUGGGGAAAUAUCGAUAAAAGAUCAUUCACGCCUCGCCACUGCAAAAUAUUAGGCAAUAAGUCACCGGGAGACCACUAGUGCAAUUAAAAUAAAAAUGGAGGAGCAUUUUUACUUCCUAUGGCUUUCUCCCCUAAAAACAAAUAAGUGUGAAAUACUUGGAAAAAUGUCAUUAAAUGACGUAUACUCAAGUCAGAAGAAUUCAAUGUCUGGAAUGAUAUUUUUCUUGACUUCCUGAAUGCUUUUUUUUUAAAAUCAACGAUUCUUGCUGGUCAUUUUAAAUCAAUCCAUAUCAGUGUUAUUCUAUAAAAUGUAGUUGGUGUUUGUAGAUGACAGGUGAUUUAAGCUUCCGUUUGCGGGGUAAAGUUUUAGAAAUUUGACAUUUUUCACCGCAACUGUAUAAUAAUAAUUAUUUAAAAAAUUACUUUGACUCCAACGAAUUUAUGAAUCCGUUUGAAAGAAAUCCUUAAAUAAAGAACGUAGCAGUUACUUUAUACUAUAGUAUUAUUAAGGCAUUUGAUUUCAAAUGAAGUGUAAAUUAAAAUAAUGAAAUUUUUAUUUUCUCAUUUGGUCCAUAGUUUAAACUAUCGAACGGUUCAGGAAAACACCUAACAUUUAUGAAGGAUAUAUUUUGAAAGAUUAGUGAAGAGUGAUAUAUGAAGGAAAUACUUUUAAUUUAACGAAAAAUAUUCGUCUGAGUUUUUACACGCGUUAAUUUUAAAAUACUAAAAUUUUGCAAAUAGUUCAUAUAAUACUUCUUCAAUGAGGAUUGCAAUUGCGGAUUGUAAACAUGCAAUUGCACCUCUAAUAUUUCCUUGUAAUUUUGAUUAAAAAGCAAUACCUUUAACAGUGGCUUGGUGCGUUUUGCUAUAUGUAUAUCGAUUGAUCCUCCAUUUAAACCCGUGGAAAAAGAUCGAUAAACAAGGCGCUCGCAACGAACUCUUUGAUAAUCGAUUAUUUACCAUAGUUUCAAAAGGGGAAAUGUCGAUAAUCGAUCAUUAACGCCUCGCCACUGUCCCUUUAAAAAAUGACGUGAAUCUUGCAAAACCCUCUAACCAACCGCCUAGUUUCUCCUAUUAAUUGAAACAGAUCAACAAAAUGAGACUCAUAAUAAGAGAAAUAAACUUCAAAAGAGGAACGUAUCUCCCCUCUCUUCAUAAUUAAUAAGAAUAAGAAGAUAAUUUAUUUGAUAGUUUUUCCUAUUUUAUGGUGCUGAAUAAAUUGUCUAAUUUUAUUAUCCCACCGCGCACACCUAAAUUUGUUCGACAAAGUAAAGUAAAAUGACUAAUAAAAAUUAAAUAAUUUGAACUUUUCCUGACUAGCAUUAUUUUCUUCUAGGUUUGUUCAUUAGUCUCGAGUCCUGAAUGUUUACUAUAUGUCUCAUGUAAAAUUGUGUAAGUUAUAAUUUUAGACGAAUGGCUGUGUAAAACAUACACAAGUAGCCUUAAUAGGCAACCUGUUUUGUUUUUAAAUUGUAAAUAAAUAUUCAGUUAAAGUUCUUCUGUACUACUGUUUAAUCUCAACAAUCCAACCACAGUGAAAUAAGAUGCCCCCAAAUUUACAACAACAAUUCAUACUUCAGAUAUCAGAUCCAAACAGUGUAAUAAAAUUCAUCACCGAAAAUUGUCGGCUCAAAGAGCACCCGUCGGUAUUGCUAAACCAUUGUUUGUAAGUGGUUUGGACAAACGAUGGCUUCAAUGAACGCAACUGGAUGAUGAGAAUUAAAUUUGCCCCCAUCAGCGCUAAUUUCCAUCACUGUUUUCGAUUCACACUGCAAUAUAAAAUGAACUUGCCGCGUGUAAGUGGUGUAUGCUUGCUCUUUUUGUGCAUUGUUCAUAAUAAAAAUCAAGCUGUACAGUGAAGUUUUAUUCACCGUAUCAAGCAAUAAUGAAUCAUCCAUAAUCCUUACAUAUCCAAAGUUACUUCUAAGACAUUGUGCGCUUAUAAAGUUUCACGGGUCCAAAAAAAGUCAAUAGUACCUUCUUGGACUGGAACGUUUUUGCAGAGAUGGCAUGCUGGAUAUUAAAACCAUUUGUGAACAUUUUCCUUUUUAGUUAUCAUGGAAAAGGCUAAAAUAACGAUGUUUGGAUCGGAACAUAACUUUCAGCCUUAUAAUUUGCUCUACAUUUUUCAUCAUGGAAGUCCGAUGUAUGGCUCAUCAACGAAAACGCGUAUCUGCAUAAAAGGAAACUUAUAGCACAUAGAUUUUUUCUAAAAUAAGCCAGAAAAUACUACUUCCUACACUGCAAAAUGUAGUGCAUUUUUGAGAAAAUUAUGUUUUUAACAAAGUUAAAGAGGAAAAUGAUUGAAAUGAUGAGCUAUGCAGUAUGUUGAUACUGGAUCAAAUUUACAUAACGUCAUCCGAAAUAAAUCUGGAGAUUUUGGAUGUUACAAAUGUAAAUUCUCGGAAGAAAAAAUGAACCCUGAAAAAAACGAAUGGGUGCAAAAGUAUGGGGCUUAACCGAAAGUAAACUAAAGUAUAAAGGAAAAUGAAAACCAAAAACUGAUAUGCCUGUCGCAAUCAUAGCUUCAGAUCUAAGUAUCGGUCCAUAUCAAACUUUAAACUCGUUAAGAAUGAUGAAAAUUCUCUAAGUCAAUUAUACGUUGUAUUGUAAGUACCUAUCUCAAAACUGUACUCGGUUUCCCUUGUGAGGAAUGUAAUGAUAAAAACGCAAUAUUAUCAAUAAAGUAUAUCGUAGACAGAAUUAUGUUGAUUUCUAUAUUCUAUAAUGCAUAAGUCAUUGUACAUAAGCAUAAGUUUUUUUUUAUACAGUUGUAAAUAUUUGCAUAUAAUUUAUGGUAUCGUAAAUAUACAAAAUUAUUCAUUAAAAUCGUACUCAUCCGUCAGAUUUAUUCUCUUUUUUACCAUCUUUCUUGCAAUUUCAGCAACUUCUUCCUCUUUUCUGAGGAA